GAUGAUGAAAGAAAAAAUAACUGAUUAGUCUUUCUAUUAUAAAAUAGAGUAUAGGCAUUAUUUUUUUCUUCUAAAA
This 76-nucleotide microRNA precursor is filed under the name Glycine max (soybean). RNAcentral's name for it is "miR9726 stem-loop (gma-MIR9726)". The record is from miRBase by way of RNAcentral. Lineage: Eukaryota; Viridiplantae; Streptophyta; Magnoliopsida; Fabales; Fabaceae.